RNAcentral lists this ribosomal RNA (493 nucleotides) under uncultured bacterium. RNAcentral's name for it is "partial 16S ribosomal RNA". It matches the Rfam family "Bacterial small subunit ribosomal RNA", at positions 30 to 507 of the family's 1533-position model. The record is from RNAcentral.
AGUGAACGCUGGCGGUAGGCCUAACACAUGCAAGUCGAACGGCAGCACAGUAAGAGCUUGCUCUUACGGGUGGCGAGUGGCGGACGGGUGAGGAAUACAGCGGAAUCUACUUUUUCGUGGGGGAUAACGUAGGGAAACUUACGCUAAUACCGCAUACGACCUACGGGUGAAAGCAGGUGAUCUUCGGACCUUGCGCUAUUUAAUGAGCCGAUGUCGGAUUAGCUAGUUAGCGGGGUAAAGGCCCACCAAGGCGGCGAUACGUAGGUGGGCUGAGAGGAUGGGCGCGCCCAAUGGGACGUGGGGCGGGCCCAAGCCUCCACGGGAGGGAGCCGGGGGGAAUUUUUGGAAAAGGGCGACAGUCUGACCCAGCCCCUACGGGGGGGUGAAGAAGGUCCUCGGGGUGGAAAACCCUUUUUGUAGAGAAGAAAAUGGGGGAGAUUAAAACCCCCAUCUAGGGACGGUACCCAAAGAAAAAGCGACGGCUAACUUCGUG